This 65-nucleotide transfer RNA is filed under the name Tritoniopsis elegans. Its description in RNAcentral is "tRNA-Arg". The record is from RNAcentral. Lineage: Eukaryota; Metazoa; Mollusca; Gastropoda; Nudibranchia; Tritoniidae.
UACUUGAAAGCGAAAUUGUAUUGCGCUAAGUUUCGGCCUUAGUUUUGAGAACCUCUCUCAAGUAU